GGCGUGCCGGUGCAGAGACGGGCUCGGGGAGAGCGAAUUAACGGUUACUGAGCUCGAGUAGGCGUCGAGUGGCCGGUGUGAUCGCUGUGUGGCCGGAGCGGUGGUGGGUGAGCGAGCGGAACUUACCGGCGGCGGCGCCAGUCGAGCCCGUGCCGUGGCGGGUCCGGUGGGCUCGGUCGGUCGCGCUGGGGCACCAUUUAUGCCUGCUGGUGGCAGGCAUGGAUUGGCGAGGCCGGUGAGGAUGGAGCGGUGGCGGGCGCGAAACGGUAGUUACCGGCGGCGGCUGCACAAGUAGAGACCUUGGGCGCCGUGACGGGAGGGGAGGGAUAUUUUUCGGUGGGUUCCGGGAGCUUUUCGUGGUAUAGUGAGAUGGAGAGGGAGUGACUGGGUGGGCAACGUCGUUGUGUUGGUCUCCUCCAGCAGAAGAGGCUAAGGCCGUUGAUGACGGCGGCGGUGACAAGCCUACCAAGGCUGCGGCAGGCCGGGAAGGAGAGUGUUCAAAUAGGUGGUGAUCGGAGGAACUCGUGGGUAACUAGGUGGGGGUGUGAGUUAAAACGGGCCCUCGGUGGUAUCCGCUUUGUGGGUUAAGCAGAGGCGGCCUCGAGGAGCCCACUCGAGCGGCGGCCGCUGAGGGAGGUGAGGUCGCUGUUUCCUCCCAUGGGUGUACAGGCGGAGUUGGAAGACUCGAGCAUCCUCCGGAGCCAAAAGGUUUGCCACGGCGGAAAGCGGCCGCGGCUGGCGGCCUCGAGGCGGAGACAAGCCGGCCUCUUCCUCCGCGCGCGCACCUGACCAGUUUGGACUGGUCACCCGGCCCGCCCGGGUGACGGUCACUGAGUCGCGCCACGGUCGAGUAAAAUUCACCUCUGCAAAAGGGGUUUCAUGCAGAGGAGGUGGCCUUUUGCAUGUUAUCAUUUCUGCGGAAGCUGCAGCGUUGGGAGGGUGCGUCGGUUUGCUGACCCGAGCCGGGUCAUCGCGAUCCGCCGAUAUGACGCGGGUCCCGCGCAAAGACGAGUCGGGUAGUGUCUUUACCUCCCCUCUAUAUUAAAGGUUCAAAACCUCACGCGGAUUAGAAAGACGUACGAGUUCUAGUACUAAGUCUCUCCUCAUGAUGCUUCGGUGGGGCAUUGGAUCCUAAGCCUCUAUCGUUGGCGCGCUCUAUCCUCAAUAGGUCCAGUCGACAAGGGCACCCUUACCUCAAGGUAGUCGCAACCUCUAGGUGCUCAGCGAAGGUAAUAAACGGUGAGCUUUAGUAACAACAUGAGUUACCUGGAUAUUCCAGAACAUGAGUUUAGGAACAUUAAAGAACCUUAAGACAUAGUUCCUUUAUAGGUGGUCGUUGUCAUUAGGACCCCGACCACCACUGUAUUCCCAGCAAACGACCCUUAAAUACAGGGCCUUUAGGCCGGGGCUGUACUAACCCCGUACUUAUAUUGUAACUAAAUUCGGAGGGGGUUCGAACUCGUUACGAAAGAGGAAUCGUUCCGG
RNAcentral lists this ribosomal RNA (1485 nucleotides) under Triticum aestivum (bread wheat). RNAcentral describes it as "partial small subunit ribosomal RNA". Lineage: Eukaryota; Viridiplantae; Streptophyta; Magnoliopsida; Poales; Poaceae. The record is from RNAcentral.